RNAcentral lists this long non-coding RNA (1698 nucleotides) under Brachypodium distachyon (stiff brome). RNAcentral describes it as "long non-coding RNA (BDIS_LNC004882)". The record is from RNAcentral. Lineage: Eukaryota; Viridiplantae; Streptophyta; Magnoliopsida; Poales; Poaceae.
ACCCAUUUCCUCGAAAGAAACUGAUACCCCGGCAACGGACUAAAGUUUUUUUUUUUGCGGGAAGACUAAUGAUAAAGUUGUCUAUUUUAACACUGGAGAUCACCGAUCUUUUACCAAUUCAAAUACGACGAGAGAUUCUCUGUAUCUGCCUCGGUUGACCUGAUCGCAGCAAGGGACCUAUAUUUAAUUUAGCACUUCAGGACCACAAGUUGACUCCAAAACUGGUUUGGUUUGGUUUAGGUCCUUGUACUUAUCCCAGACCAAGUAUUCUUCCAGUCCUUGAAAGUCUAUAUUUGCGCUCGGGAUAUGUGUAGAAUGCAGGAUUCCGUACGAUAUUUUCUGAAGGGUUGUUUCUUAGAUAGAGAAAAUAAUACAAAUAAGAAAACGCCUAAGUUGACAAGAGUUCACAAGAUAGUCCACGGCGACUUAGAAGAAAAUGAUGUACUACUACAGUCCAACAAUAAGGAGAAGAAGUCCAACCGGCAAGAUAUAGCCAGGUCCUUGCGACUUGUAUAGGCUCUGUGGAUCACAGGCUCACAGCCAGUGCAGAUAUAUAGGUCCUUCCAAAACUUGUGAUGUUAAUUAUUUGGCCAGUGGCCAACUGGAUUAGAGGAUACUAAACUUUUUUUUGUGUUUUUCUUGUCGUUUCAGGAUAUUCUCUCUCUCUUGCGAGAUUAGUAUAACAAAAUCAGGCGCAUUUUAUGUGCCAGACAAGUCAGAUGGAGACAAGGAAAUAUUGUGAGGGUAUAUUAGGCGAAGAAUGAGCACCGGUGAAAAUUCGAUAAGAAUGCCUCCAUACAAUUGCAAGAUGCAUUUGCCGCUUCCGUUGGUCUCAAAAUGUGAUUCAAAUUUAUCCAAUUGAUACGUAUUAUUUUUUUAACCUGAUAAAGCCUAAAUGAGCCCAGUGGCCCAAAACACUUACAACGAUAUGUCAGGGUGUUUAUACCACUGGAAUUACUGCAAGGAGAUUACCAUUUUUGCAAAUGUUAUAUGAAAAUUAGUACUCCGUUUGAAAUUUUCAUCACUGGUUGUUUUUCAACUUGUCUAAACCAGGUUUGAACACACCUACGAGACAUUUUGCAUGCAAUUCAAAUCAAGGUGUUUCUUGGUCCCCUUUGGAAAUAUUGCAAAACUGUAGUUGGUUCAGAGUUUCCUUUUUUUUCUUCUUUUUGGGUCUCAAAGAUAUUGACAACACAUUGUCUAAACAAAGACAUUACAACUAACUAAUUGCUGCAGGGACACCGAGCUCUGAUUGUGUCGUUUAGUUUUCUCUUAACUUUUGGAUCAUAAAGCAGAAGUGUUAUUUUAGGAAUUCAAGUUCUAAUCAUGCAGAGAUAUAUGCGCAUAGCUUAAAUUAAAGGUGUCCUAAUCAUCAUAAAGGUAUCCUUAGCUUAGUUUAUCAUCCAUCUGAUUUCUUUAUGGUGGAUUAGUUUCAUAUAUGCUUCAUUAAUUAACAAUUAGGCCCCUUUUUUGGGUUAACACGUCUCUUGAUCCUACUCUUAAGAAUCAUAAAUCUCUAAACAAAUGCUACUUUUUCUCUCUUUAUGUGAUGAGAAGCGAUCAUCUUUCGUAGAAUUUAUCUGAAGUAGAACUUCAACAAAAGAUAGCACGCCUUGUCCUCGAUUCUAAUUAAGAUAAACUCUCGUCAUCAUAGAUUAAUUCCAGGAUAUCAAUCAUGGAUGAAUAUAUGUUGUGGAC